UAGGGAAUCUUCGGCAAUGGACGAAAGUCUGACCGAGCAACGCCGCGUGAGUGAAGAAGGUUUUCGGAUCGUAAAACUCUGUUGUUAGAGAAGAACAAGGACGUUAGUAACUGAACGUCCCCUGACGGUAUCUAACCAGAAAGCCACGGCUAACUACGUGCCAGCAGCCGCGGUAAUACGUAGGUGGCAAGCGUUGUCCGGCUUUAUUGGGCGUAAAGCGAGCGCAGGCGGUUUCUUAAGUCUGAUGUGAAAGCCCCCGGCUCAACCGGGGAGGGUCAUUGGAAACUGGGAGACUUGAGUGCAGAAGAGGAGAGUGAAAUUCCAUGUGUAGCGGUGAAAUGCAUAGAUAUAUGGAGGAACACCAGUGGCGAAGGCGGCGCUCUGGUCUGUAACUGACGCUGAGGCUCGAAAGCGUGGGGAGCAAACAGG
This 429-nucleotide ribosomal RNA is filed under the name Gemmatimonadota bacterium. Its description in RNAcentral is "Gemmatimonadetes bacterium partial 16S ribosomal RNA". It matches the Rfam family "Bacterial small subunit ribosomal RNA", at positions 355 to 776 of the family's 1533-position model. Lineage: Bacteria; Pseudomonadati; Gemmatimonadota. The record is from RNAcentral.